This 939-nucleotide ribosomal RNA is filed under the name Phidippus otiosus. Its description in RNAcentral is "partial 16S ribosomal RNA". The stretch from base 1 to 482 matches the Rfam family "Bacterial large subunit ribosomal RNA", at positions 1855 to 2925 of the family's 2925-position model. Lineage: Eukaryota; Metazoa; Arthropoda; Arachnida; Araneae; Salticidae. The record is from RNAcentral.
AAAUCUGCUCAAUGAAUAAUUCAAUAGCCGCAAUUUGUGCUAAGGUAGCAUAAUCAUUUGUCUUUUAAAUGAAGACUAGAACAAAAGAUUUAACAUCUCAAAUAAUAUCUUAUUUAAACAUUUAAAUUUAUUUUAAAAGUAAAAAAACUUUUAUAAUAUAAAAAGACGAUAAGACCCUAUUGAACUUAACUUUAGUUAAACUGGGGCAGUUAAUUAAUUAUUAUUUUAAUAUGAUUAUUUAUAUAAAAAGUCUUACAAUUGAUAAAUCAGUUACCAUAGGGAUAACAGCGUAAUUUUAUUUUAAAGACCUUAUAAAAAAUAAAGAUUGCGACCUCGAUGUUGAAUUAGUAACCUAAUUAAAGCAAAAUUUAAAAUAGGAAGUCUGUUCGACUUUUAAAUAACUACAUGAUUUGAGUUCAGACCGGUAUAAGCCAGGUCGGCUUCCAUCUUUUAUAAAUAUUUCUGUAGUACGAAAGGACCUAGAAAUCCAAUUUUAUUUAUUAUAUUGGCAGAUCAAUGCAUUAGAAUUAGAAUCUAAUUACCUAAAAAUUUUUUAAUUAAUUAUAUUUUAAUUGUAAUCAGAAUUCUUAUUAGAGUAGCCUUCUAUACAAUUAUAGAACGAAAAAUCUUAGGUUAUAUACAAAUUCGAAAAGGUCCUAAUAAAGUAGGAUUUAUAGGAAUUUUACAACCUUUUAGAGAUGCAUUAAAACUCUUUAAUAAAAAUUUAUUAUCACCUGAAAAUAAUAAUAUUAUUUUAUCUUUUUCAACUCCUGCUCUAUCACUCUUUAUUAGAAUUCUUCUAAUUCCAAUUAUUUGUUUUAAUUCAUAUUCAUUAUUUGAUAAUAAACAUAGAGUUCUUUUAUUUUUUAUUUUAUCAAGAAUAGCUGUUUACUUCAUUCUACUAAUUGGUUGAUCAGCAAAUUCUAAAUACAGACAUAU